RNAcentral lists this unclassified non-coding RNA (240 nucleotides) under soil metagenome. RNAcentral's name for it is "partial contains 5.8S ribosomal RNA, internal transcribed spacer 2, and large subunit ribosomal RNA". The record is from RNAcentral.
AACAUCGCGCACCUGCGGGAACCUGCGGAGGGAUCAUUACCGAGUGAGGGCCCUCCGGGUCCAACCUCCCACCCGUGUUUAACGAACCUUGUUGCUUCGGCGGGCCCGCCUCACGGCCGCCGGGGGGCACCCCGCCCCCGGGCCCGCGCCCGCCGAAGACACCUGUGAACGCUGUCUGAAGUUGCAGUCUGAGACACUAGCUCAAUCAGUUAAAACUUUCAGCAAUGGAUCUCAGAUCGG